AUUGAACGCUGGCGGCAGGCCUAACACAUGCAAGUCGAGCGAGCGGCGGACGGGUGAGUAAUGUCUGGGAAACUGCCUGAUGGAGGGGGAUAACUACUGGAAACGGUAGCUAAUACCGCAUACCAUCAGAUGUUCCCAGAUGGGAUUAGAUAGUAGGUGGGGUAACGGCUCACCUAGGCGACGAUCCCUAGCUGGUCUGAGAGGCUGACCAGCCACCCUGGAACUUCGACAAGGUCCAUACUCCUACGGUAGGCAGCAGUGGGGAAUAUGGCACAAUGGGAGCAAGCCUGAUGCAGCCAUGCCGCGUGUAUGAAGAAGGCCUUCGGGUUGUAAAGUACUUUCAGCGGGGAGGCGUUACCCGCAGAAGAAGCACCGGCUAACUCCGUGCCAGCAGCCGCGGUAAUUC
This 406-nucleotide ribosomal RNA is filed under the name uncultured bacterium. RNAcentral describes it as "partial 16S ribosomal RNA". It matches the Rfam family "Bacterial small subunit ribosomal RNA", at positions 30 to 526 of the family's 1533-position model. The record is from RNAcentral.